CCUACGGGAGGCUGCAGUGGGGAAUAUUGCACAAUGGGGGAAACCCUGAUGCAGCGACGCCGCGUGAGUGAAGAAGUAUUUCGGUAUGUAAAGCUCUAUCAGCAGGGAAGAAGCAAGACGGUACCUGACUAAGAAGCCCCGGCUAACUACGUGCCAGCAGCCGCGGUAAUACGUAGGGGGCAAGCGUUAUCCGGAUUUACUGGGUGUAAAGGGAGCGUAGACGGUAUGGCAAGUCUGAAGUGAAAGCCCAGGGCUUAACCCUGGGACUGCUUUGGAAACUGUUAGACUAGAGUGCUGGAGAGGUAAGUGGAAUUCCUAGUGUAGCGGUGAAAUGCGUAGAUAUCACGCAGAACUCCGAUUGCGAAGGCAGCAUACCGGCGCUCAACUGACGCUCAUGCACGAAAGUGUGGGUAUCGAACAGGAUUAGAUACCCGAGUAGUC
This 441-nucleotide ribosomal RNA is filed under the name uncultured bacterium. RNAcentral's name for it is "partial 16S ribosomal RNA". It matches the Rfam family "Bacterial small subunit ribosomal RNA", at positions 338 to 795 of the family's 1533-position model. The record is from RNAcentral.